Oncorhynchus tshawytscha (Chinook salmon) is the source of this 331-nucleotide long non-coding RNA. The record is from Ensembl. NCBI's taxonomy places the organism in Eukaryota, Metazoa, Chordata, Actinopteri, Salmoniformes, Salmonidae.
GAGGCUAAAUUGAUUGUAUUGAUGUAUUAUAUUAAGUUAAAAUAAGUGUUCAUUCAGUAUUGUUGUAAUUGUCAUUAUUACAAAUAAAUUGUACAAAUUGUUUAUUUUAAAAUCAUCAGAUUAAUCGGUAUCGGCUGUUAUGGUCCUCCAAUAAUCGGUAUUGGCAUUGAAAAAUCAUAAUCAGUCGACCUCUAGUACAGACUGCAGCAUCUAACCCCCUGUAAGGUCACCACACCACAACAGAGUACAGACUGCAGCAUCUAACCCCCUGUAAGGUCACCACACCACAACAGAGUACAGACUGCAGCAUCUAACCCUCUGUAAGGUCACC